Molecule: ribosomal RNA, 439 nt
Filed under: uncultured bacterium
Lineage: Bacteria
Description: partial 16S ribosomal RNA
Rfam family: Bacterial small subunit ribosomal RNA
Source: RNAcentral
CUACGGGUCGCAGCAGUGGGGGAUAUUGCACAAUGGGCGAAAGCCUGAUGCAGCAACGCCGCGUGAAGGAAGACGGUUUUCGGAUUGUAAACUUCUAUCAGCUGGGAAGAAAAUGACGGUACCAGACUAAGAAGCCCCGGCUAACUAUGUGCCAGCAGCCGCGGUAAUACAUAGGGGGCAAGCGUUAUCCGGAAUUACUGGGUGUAAAGGGUACGUAGGCGGCUGAUCAAGUCAGAUGUGAAAGCCCGGAGCUCAACUCCGGGAUUGCAUUUGAAACUGGUCGGCUAGAGUGCAGGAGAGGAAAGUGGAAUUCCUAGUGUAGCGGUGAAAUGCGUAGAUAUUAGGAAGAACACCAGUGGCGAAGGCGGCUUUCUGGACUGUAACUGACGCUGAGGUACGAAAGCGUGGGGAGCGAACAGGAUUAGAUACCCUGGUAGUC